UACAGAGGUCCCAAGCGUUGUUCGGAAUUACUGGGCGUAAAGGGUGCGUAGGUGGCGCCGUAAGUCGGGUGUGAAAUUUCGGAGCUUAACUCCGAAACUGCAUUCGAUACUGCGGUGCUUGAGGACUGGAGAGGAGACUGGAAUUCAUGGUGUAGCAGUGAAAUGCGUAGAGAUCAUGAGGAAGACCAGUGGCGAAGGCGGGUCUCUGGACAGUUCCUGACACUGAGGCACGAAGGCCAGGGGAGCAAACGGG
This 253-nucleotide ribosomal RNA is filed under the name uncultured bacterium. RNAcentral's name for it is "partial 16S ribosomal RNA". It matches the Rfam family "Bacterial small subunit ribosomal RNA", at positions 524 to 776 of the family's 1533-position model. The record is from RNAcentral.